Molecule: long non-coding RNA, 923 nt
Organism: Trifolium pratense (red clover)
Lineage: Eukaryota; Viridiplantae; Streptophyta; Magnoliopsida; Fabales; Fabaceae
Exons: 4
Source: RefSeq, a predicted model, not a curated record
CAACCACACGUGUGACCUUCUUUUUCAGAUUUUAUAUUUUAAUUUUUUUCUUCUCUUUCACACCGUUCUCUCUUUCACGUAAAAAUUAAAGAAAUUCAUCUCCAUCUCAGCUCCAUCUCCAUCUCUGGAAAUCGUCAUCUCCAUCAAAGCUCAAGCUUCUCCCUCUCUGUAAAAUUCCUUCUCCCUCUUUGCGACAAAACCCUAACACAAUCGUCCCCUUUCUUCGACGAAAUCAGAAAUACGUUGAACUCAUUCAUCCGAUUCAAGGUUGGUUCAUGGAAUGCAGUGCUUAGAUCAAUCGACUUUUGAUCAACAUGACAAGUGAUUGAUAUCAUCAUUGAGUAGUAAAGGCUCAACUCACGUCAUGAAAUCAAAGAAGUUCCAGCUCUUGCACCAAUUUUUGAACAAUUCUCAUGUUAUGUCUAUUGGGUUAUCAUCACCAUUGUUGCAAUUGGAUCCAAUUUAUGAGAAGCUGUUUGGAACUUGAAUGGUACCACGAUUCAAACUAAUGGUGUAAAGAAGUUAAUUGAUGAUUGGUUAUUUGAAAUGAUGUUUGUAAAGUUGGCACCGUUUGCAAGUAACCAAGAUGAAUAUAGAGACCAAUUCAGUUUUGUAGACUGUAGUGAUAUGGUUUCAGAACUUGUGGUUACUGGAAUAUAAAGAGUUUGUUUUGUUGAGAGUUGUAUUUUGAAGAUAUACUACUAGAGCUUGGUAUUGCCGAGAGCUGCAGCUAAGUUGGUGGAGCGGUCCAUUAUUCUGAACCCUGGUCUAUGCUUUUGAAUAUUUGAGUUGCAAAUUUUGUUUUUAGAGCAACAAGAGCAUUGUGUAAUACUAUUGUAUAUGUAGAUAUGUAAUUUUUAAGUAUUUGAUCAUGUAGUUUCCAUGUUUUCGAAUAUUAUAAAAUCAUAAUAAAAUUCUAUGGA